AUAUCAAUAAGCGGAGGAAAAGAAACUAACAAGGAUUCCCCUAGUAACUGCGAGUGAAGCGGGAAAAGCUCAAAUUUAAAAUCUGGCGGUCUUCGGCCGUCCGAGUUGUAGUCUGGAGAAGUGCUUUCCGCGCUGGACCGUGUACAAGUCUCUUGGAACAGAGCGUCAUAGAGGGUGAGAAUCCCGUCUUUGACACGGACUACCAGUGCUUUGUGAUGCGCUCUCAAAGAGUCGAGUUGUUUGGGAAUGCAGCUCAAAAUGGGUGGUAAAUUCCAUCUAAAGCUAAAUAUUGGCGAGAGACCGAUAGCGAACAAGUACCGUGAGGGAAAGAUGAAAAGCACUUUGGAAAGAGAGUUAAACAGUACGUGAAAUUGCUGAAAGGGAAACGAUUGAAGUCAGUCGCGUUGACCAGGACUCAGCCUUGCUUUUGCUUGGUGCAUUUUCUGGUUGACGGGCCAGCAUCGAUUUUGACCGUCGGAAAAAGGUUGGGGGAAUGUGGCACCUUCGGGUGUGUUAUAGCCCUCAGUCACAUACGGCGAUUGGGAUCGAGGACCGCAGCACGCCUUUAUGGCCGGGGUUCGCCCACGUUCGUGCUUAGGAUGCUGGCGUAAUGGCUUUAAACGACCCGUCUUGAAACACGGACCAAGGAGUCUAACAUGCCUGCGAGUGUUUGGGUGGAAAACCCGAGCGCGUAAUGAAAGUGAAAGUUGAGAUCCCUGUCGCGGGGAGCAUCGACGCCCGGACUUGAACUUCGGUGAUAGAUCUGCGGUAGAGCAUGUAUGUUGGGACCCGAAAGAUGGUGAACUAUGCCUGAAUAGGGUGAAGCCAGAGGAAACUCUGGUGGAGGCUCGUAGCGAUUCUGACGUGCAAAUCGAUCGUCAAAUUUGGGUAUAGGGGCGA
This 900-nucleotide ribosomal RNA is filed under the name Neoantrodia kmetii. Its description in RNAcentral is "eukaryotic LSU rRNA". It matches the Rfam family "Eukaryotic large subunit ribosomal RNA", at positions 40 to 926 of the family's 3401-position model. The record is from RNAcentral. Lineage: Eukaryota; Fungi; Basidiomycota; Agaricomycetes; Polyporales; Fomitopsidaceae.